This 73-nucleotide transfer RNA is filed under the name Blattella germanica (German cockroach). RNAcentral's name for it is "tRNA-Arg (TCG) (tRNA-Arg-TCG-22-1)". It matches the Rfam family "tRNA". Rfam says of the family: Transfer RNA (tRNA) molecules are approximately 80 nucleotides in length. Their secondary structure includes four short double-helical elements and three loops (D, anti-codon, and T loops). Lineage: Eukaryota; Metazoa; Arthropoda; Insecta; Blattodea; Blattellidae. The record is from RNAcentral.
GACCGUGUGGCCUAACGGAUAAGGCAUCGGACAUCGGAUCCGAAGAUUGCAGGUUCGAGUUCUGCCACGGUCG